RNAcentral lists this ribosomal RNA (296 nucleotides) under uncultured bacterium. RNAcentral's name for it is "partial 16S ribosomal RNA". It matches the Rfam family "Bacterial small subunit ribosomal RNA", at positions 789 to 1084 of the family's 1533-position model. The record is from RNAcentral.
GGUAGUCCACGCCGUAAACGAUGGGCACUAGGUGUGGGAGGUGUCGACUCCUCCCGCGCCGCAGCUAACGCAUUAAGUGCCCCGCCUGGGGAGUACGGCCGCAAGGCUAAAACUCAAAGGAAUUGACGGGGCCCGCACAAGCAGCGGAGCAUGUGGUUUAAUUCGACGCAACGCGAAGAACCUUACCUGGGCUUGACAUGUGAGUGACCGCCGUGGAAACACGGUUUCCCUUAGGGGGCACUUUCACAGGUGGUGCAUGGCUGUCGUCAGCUCGUGUCGUGAGAUGUUGGGUUAAG